This 479-nucleotide ribosomal RNA is filed under the name uncultured organism. RNAcentral describes it as "partial 16S ribosomal RNA". It matches the Rfam family "Bacterial small subunit ribosomal RNA", at positions 331 to 801 of the family's 1533-position model. The record is from RNAcentral.
GUACACUCCUGCGGUAGGCAGCAGUGGGGAAUUUUGGACAAUGGGCGAAAGCCUGAUCCAGCAAUGCCGCGUGAGUGAAGAAGGCCUUCGGGUUGUAAAGCUCUUUUGUCAGGGAAGAAACGGUGAGAGCUAAUAUCUUUUGCUAAUGACGGUACCUGAAGAAUAAGCACCGGCUAACUACGUGCCAGCAGCCGCGGUAAUACGUAGGGUGCAAGCGUUAAUCGGAAUUACUGGGCGUAAAGCGUGCGCAGGCGGUUUUGUAAGUCUGAUGUGAAAUCCCCGGGCUCAACCUGGGAAUUGCAUUGGAGACUGCAAGGCUAGAAUCUGGCAGAGGGGGGUAGAAUUCCACGUGUAGCAGUGAAAUGCGUAGAUAUGUGGAGGAACACCGAUGGCGAAGGCAGCCCCCUGGGUCAAGAUUGACGCUCAUGCACGAAAGCGUGGGGAGCAAACAGGAUUAGAAACCCGAGUAGUCCCAUGAU